CUUUUCCGUCUCUUUCUUUUUAUGUCACCAGGGGAGGACUGGGUGGCCAACCCAGAGCCCCGAGAGAUGCUAGGCUCUUUCUGUCCCGCCCUUCCUCUGACUGUGUCUUGAUUUCCUAUUCUGAGAGGCUAUUGCUCAGCGGUUUCCGUGGCAACAGUAAAGCGUGGGAAUUACAGAUAAAUUAAAACUGUGGAACCCCUUUCCUCGGCUGCCGCCAAGGUGUUCGGUCCUUCCGAGGAAGCUAAGGCCGCGUUGGGGUGAGACCCUCACUUCAUCCGUUUUGUCUGCAGCUCGAUUUCUUGGUUCCCUGACUGGGAAGCGAGGUGAAUGGCGGAUGGUCAAGGCAGCUCCUUAGGCGGCUUAAACCUGCCCUGUGGAACAUCCCUGCAGGGGACUCCAACCAGCCCGAGCAACACGGAUCCUGAGGGCGCUCCUGGUUAGGCAUUUGCCCCACUGGGACGCCUCGCCAGAGCACUGUAUGGCAGGCCCCCAUGGAGGAUCAACGCAGUGGCUGAACACCGGGAAGGAACGGGCACUUGGAGUCUGGACAUCUAAAACUUGAAUUUCUAGUAAACCAGCACCAGCCUGAAGAUCACAUUCUCAUCGAAAGGUGGAAAGAAGAAAAACUCGAGCCAGCCUGGAAGGACCCUACCUUGUGUUGCUAACCACCAAGACUGCUGUUCGUACAGCAAAAAAGGAUGGACUCGUCACACCAGAAUCAAGAAAGUGCCACCCCCUCCAGAGUCAUGGGCCACAGUCCCAGAGGAAAACCCUGCCAAACUAAAGCUACGAAAAAUCUCUUUUCAUCUAUUCUAUUACUCUUCUUUCUUUCCUCGUGCUAUUGCUGACCAUCUAGUUAUUAACAUAACCAAGUCAAUUUCACCUCAAACUAUUGCAUUUAAUGCUUGCCUUGUUAUACCCUGUGGGGACUUGCCAAGUCAAAGACAGCUCUCUACUUCAGAAAAGUACUUCUGUCCCUCCUGACUCUCCUCAGACUGGACAUUAGUAAACUAGGACCAUUUAAUCCAGGGAGAUUUCGAUAAAGACCCCAGUGCCAACCAGGAGUCUUGUCCCCUGAUGUAGAGUUUUUAUGCCGUAGUUGGUCCAACGUUCUGUGGACCACUAAAGAGCAAGAAUGGACUGCCCCAACCAGUUUUUGUAAUUUCCUAAAACCAUACAUUCGUUUUACUA
RNAcentral lists this long non-coding RNA (1191 nucleotides) under Homo sapiens (human). RNAcentral's name for it is "non-protein coding lnc-BRCA1-3:5". The record is from RNAcentral. Lineage: Eukaryota; Metazoa; Chordata; Mammalia; Primates; Hominidae.